Molecule: ribosomal RNA, 1260 nt
Filed under: Phoma sp.
Lineage: Eukaryota; Fungi; Ascomycota; Dothideomycetes; Pleosporales; Didymellaceae
Description: partial small subunit ribosomal RNA
Rfam family: Eukaryotic small subunit ribosomal RNA
Source: RNAcentral
AAAGGCUGUCUAAGUAUAAGCAAUUAUACCGUGAAACUGCGAAUGGCUCAUUAAAUCAGUUAUCGUUUAUUUGAUAGUACCUUACUACUUGGAUAACCGUGGUAAUUCUAGAGCUAAUACAUGCUGAAAACCCCAACUUCGGGAGGGGUGUAUUUAUUAGAUAAAAAACCAACGCCCUUCGGGGCUUCUUGGUGAUUCAUGAUAACUUCACGGAUCGCAUGGCCUUGCGCCGGCGACGGUUCAUUCAAAUUUCUGCCCUAUCAACUUUCGAUGGUAAGGUAUUGGCUUACCAUGGUUUCAACGGGUAACGGGGAAUUAGGGUUCGAUUCCGGAGAGGGAGCCUGAGAAACGGCUACCACAUCCAAGGAAGGCAGCAGGCGCGCAAAUUACCCAAUCCCGACACGGGGAGGUAGUGACAAUAAAUACUGAUACAGGGCUCUUUUGGGUCUUGUAAUUGGAAUGAGUACAAUUUAAACCUCUUAACGAGGAACAAUUGGAGGGCAAGUCUGGUGCCAGCAGCCGCGGUAAUUCCAGCUCCAAUAGCGUAUAUUAAAGUUGUUGCAGUUAAAAAGCUCGUAGUUGAAACUUGGGCCUGGCUGGCAGGUCCGCCUCACCGCGUGUACUUGUCCGGCCGGGCCUUUCCUUCUGGAGAACCUCAUGCCCUUCACUGGGUGUGUUGGGGAACCAGGACUUUUACUUUGAAAAAAUUAGAGUGUUCAAAGCAGGCCUUUGCUCGAAUACGUUAGCAUGGAAUAAUAGAAUAGGACGUGCGGUCCUAUUUUGUUGGUUUCUAGGACCGCCGUAAUGAUUAAUAGGGACAGUCGGGGGCAUCAGUAUUCAAUUGUCAGAGGUGAAAUUCUUGGAUUUAUUGAAGACUAACUACUGCGAAAGCAUUUGCCAAGGAUGUUUUCAUUAAUCAGUGAACGAAAGUUAGGGGAUCGAAGACGAUCAGAUACCGUCGUAGUCUUAACCGUAAACUAUGCCGACUAGGGAUCGGGCGAUGUUCUUUUUCUGACUCCCUCGGCCUUACAAGAAAUCAAGUUUUUGGGUUCUGGGGGGAAUAUGGUCCCAAGGCUGAAACUUAAAAAAUUGACGGAAGGGACCACAAGGCAUGAACCUUGGCGUUAUUUGAUUUAACCGGGGAAACCCCCGGGCCCGAUGAAUAAGGAUUGCCAAUGGAAAUUUUUUUUUUUUUUUGGGGGGGGGGGGGGGGAUAAAUAUGGCGAAAAAUUUUUUGUGUUUAUUAAAAAAAAAACAAAA